CGUGCUUAACACAUGCAAGUCGAACGAAGCACCUUAUUCUGAUUUCUUCGGAAUGAAAAAUUUGGUGACUGAGUGGCGGACGGGUGAGUAACGCGUGGGUAACCUGCCUCAUACAGGGGGAUAACAGUUAGAAAUGACUGCUAAUACCGCAUAAGACCACAGCACCGCAUGGUGCAGGGGUAAAAACUCCGGUGGUAUGAGAUGGACCCGCGUCUGAUUAGGUAGUUGGUGGGGUAACGGCCUACCAAGCCGACGAUCAGUAGCCGACCUGAGAGGGUGACCGGCCACAUUGGGACUGAGACACGGCCCAAACUCCUACGGGAGGCAGCAGUGGGGAAUAUUGCACAAUGGGGGAAACCCUGAUGCAGCGACGCCGCGUGAGCGAUGAAGUAUUUCGGUAUGUAAAGCUCUAUCAGCAGGGAAGAAAAUGACGGUACCUGACUAACAAGCACCGGCUAAAUACGUGCCAGCAGCCGCGGUAAUACAUAUGGUGCAAGCGUUAUCCGGAUUUACUGGGUGUAAAGGGAGCGUAGACGGAGUGGCAAGUCUGAUGUGAAAACCCGGGGCUCAACCCCGGGACUGCAUUGAAAACUGUCAAUCUAGAAUACCGGAGAGGUAAGCGGAAUUCCUAGUGUAGCGGUGAAAUGCGUAGAUAUUACGAGGAACACCAGUGGCGAAGGCGGCUUACUGGACGGUAACUGACGUUGAGGCUCGAAAGCGUGAGGAGCAAACAGGAUUAGAUACCCUGGUAUU
Molecule: ribosomal RNA, 753 nt
Filed under: uncultured organism
Description: SSU rRNA
Rfam family: Bacterial small subunit ribosomal RNA
Source: RNAcentral